This 254-nucleotide ribosomal RNA is filed under the name uncultured bacterium. Its description in RNAcentral is "partial 16S ribosomal RNA". It matches the Rfam family "Bacterial small subunit ribosomal RNA", at positions 524 to 776 of the family's 1533-position model. The record is from RNAcentral.
UACGUAGGACCCAAGCGUUAUCCGGAAUUACUGGGCGUAAAGAGUUGCGUAGGUGGCAUUAUAAGUGGAGCGUGAAAGCGUGCGGCUCAACCGCAUUACUGCGUUCCAAACUGUAAAGCUUGAGUAUGAGAGGGGUAGAUGGAAUUUCUAGUGUAGGAGUGAAAUCCGUAGAUAUUAGAAGGAACACCGAUAGCGUAGGCAGUCUACUGGCUCAUUACUGACACUAAGGCACGAAAGCGUGGGGAGCAAACGGG